UGUUUGCUAUUUCACAUUCCUGUCACUGAAGCGUUGUGGGCAAAGACACAGAAGGCAACUGAAACAAUGUGGUUUAAGUCAAGGUGAUUAUUAGGGGUCCAAGCACAUUGGUUUGUGUAGAUGAUGCAGUUACACAAUGAACGUGUCUCUUUUCAAGUAAAUUAUGAGUCCUUAUGUGAGUACUAUUAUAUGCACAACAUGAAAAUAGAUAACUAAUAUAGUGUCCCUUCUACACUUUUUCAGUAAUGUGUGAUAACUUGAGAAAUAUGUUGUCAAUACAAUUAAAAUAACAAAGUAAUGGUAUUUAGGAGAUGAUAGCUUUUGCAUAAUUACUAUAUUGGGCUUUAUUAAAGUUUAUGAAAAAAGAAUGAAUGUUUAUGCAUUUUUUGUUUAUGCACAUAAGUGAAACAUUUUCAAGUCUUUGAACAGAUCUUGAAGUAUUUGCUAUCCUGUGGCGCCAUCGAGUGGACAACAUUAGCAUUGUGGCCUUCAUUUUUGAACAACAUUAUGAAAGGGGCCAAUAUUUUUUGAAUGAUUAUAAAUAUUUAAUGAUUAGUUUACUGAUAAUAUACCCACAUUAAAAUCUAAUUUACUGAUUCUGUAUCUUAUUUCAUGCUUAAUCAUGAGUUUAAUUUUCAGUUUACAUUUUUAAGCAGUGUUGAAUGAUUACUAUGUGAGUUGCUAAAUUUUUUUUUGUUUUUUUAUUUUUUUUUUUUUUUUUUUUUUUUUUUUUUAGGAUUUACAUUUAAAAAAAUGAGCCUACUUCAAACAUUUUAAGCAGCUUGAACAAAACCUGUUAAUAUU
This is a long non-coding RNA of Cyprinus carpio carpio, 804 nucleotides long. NCBI's taxonomy places the organism in Eukaryota, Metazoa, Chordata, Actinopteri, Cypriniformes, Cyprinidae. The record is from Ensembl.